UGUUGGUGUCGAAGCUUCAGUGGCAAUGAUGAUGGGAGAGAAAUAUCGGAGAGGUGGCUAUGCUUGUGGUAGUCGGCUCUUCUUUGCGUGUUCAUAGGAUUGUCUCGGCUGGUUCAUUGUUGCGAAGUCAAAGCUACGGUGGUGGGCCUCGGUGGUGUACGAUGACGGGCAACAUGUGGUUCAUUCGAUGAUCUUCUAUGGUGC
RNAcentral lists this long non-coding RNA (204 nucleotides) under Hordeum vulgare. Its description in RNAcentral is "long non-coding RNA (HVUL_LNC010968)". The record is from RNAcentral. Lineage: Eukaryota; Viridiplantae; Streptophyta; Magnoliopsida; Poales; Poaceae.